ACGCUCGACACCUAGGAGGCAGCAGUGAGGAAUAUUGGUCAAUGGGCGCUAGCCUGAACCAGCCAAGUAGCGUGAAGGAUGAAGGCUCUAUGGGUCGUAAACUUCUUUUAUAUAAGAAUAAAGUGCAGUAUGUAUACUGUUUUGUAUGUAUUAUAUGAAUAAGGAUCGGCUAACUCCGUGCCAGUAGCCGCGGUAAUCUGAGCGGGCUGGCAAGGC
This 216-nucleotide ribosomal RNA is filed under the name uncultured bacterium. RNAcentral's name for it is "partial 16S ribosomal RNA". It matches the Rfam family "Bacterial small subunit ribosomal RNA", at positions 328 to 539 of the family's 1533-position model. The record is from RNAcentral.